This 61-nucleotide transfer RNA is filed under the name Ictidomys tridecemlineatus (thirteen-lined ground squirrel). Its description in RNAcentral is "Spermophilus tridecemlineatus (thirteen-lined ground squirrel) tRNA". It matches the Rfam family "tRNA", at positions 6 to 65 of the family's 71-position model. Rfam says of the family: Transfer RNA (tRNA) molecules are approximately 80 nucleotides in length. Their secondary structure includes four short double-helical elements and three loops (D, anti-codon, and T loops). Lineage: Eukaryota; Metazoa; Chordata; Mammalia; Rodentia; Sciuridae. The record is from Rfam by way of RNAcentral.
UGUAGCUCAGUGGUAGAGCAUUUGCCUAGCAUAUACAAGGCCCUGGGUUCAAUUCCCAGCA